GAAAGAGAUAGAUGUGGGUUUGUUUGUUUUUCAGAAUUUAUAACCUAACUCUAGGUUGAGAAUAGUGUGUAGAUGAUCAAAAUUUCAUACUCUGCAGGCUCACAUUCUCAAGGAGGAAGCCCUCUCUGUUGAGGAGAAAAAGAAAUGGGUGGCAAACAACCGGCAUCUCCGUUCUGACAUGAAUCAGUUUUUUGUCGAAAGAUGUCGAUGGGAAAUUCAGUUUAAGGAAAUGUUCUUAAAGCCUCUCUAUGAAGAGAGACAUAUUGCCGCUCAAGAAAUCUCAAGUUUUUGGAGUCUUGCCAUGCUUUCUGACAGGCUAGUUUCUAAGCAGGUGUGCAAUUUCUCAGCCAAACUUUCUUCUGUGCUUUUGUUUUACUUAUGUUUCUAAUCAAGUGUAGACGCUUGAUCAUGCUCUCGAGUAUUUGAAUGAUAUCGAGUCCAGUAGGACAACUAAUUUGAAAGGAUUUGAGCUGAAGUUCACCUUUGACGACAAUCCUUUUUUUAAGAAUAAGGUCUUGACUAAAAAGUAUGAGGUGACGGGUGACAACGACAACGUUUCCUUGAAGGCAAUUGGGACUAAAAUAGAUUGGAAUCCUUCCCACAACUUAAAUGAGAAUCGUGGUAAACGCAGUAAAAGUUUCUUCAAUUUCUUCAAGUCAUAUGCUACUGUCGAUCCUCUUUCUUUUGACAUGGAAGUUGAUGAACUCAAAGGUGACCUUCCAGAAGAUUAUGAAAUCGGAUCCGAGACAAGAUCAUUCUGCAUGCUACAUCGAGUUUGGCACUCUUGCCUACAUCCGGUGAUGAUGAUUCUGAUGAUGGUGAUACCGGUGAUGGUGAUUCUGAUGAUGGCGUUUAAAUUUUGUGUAUAGUUUCAGUCUAAUCUUCUGUUAAAAGUUGAUAUCUUUUUGUUCAAUCUGCAUGGACUCCAUUUGUUUCAAUAAAGUUGGAGGUUUUAUCUUGCUUGAACAAUUUCA
Molecule: long non-coding RNA, 974 nt
Organism: Rosa chinensis
Lineage: Eukaryota; Viridiplantae; Streptophyta; Magnoliopsida; Rosales; Rosaceae
Exons: 6
Source: RefSeq, a predicted model, not a curated record